CUGUAUGUUUUUUAAGCAAUCCAAGGGCCGUACGCCCCCAGAUGCCAGAGGCGUUGAAAAAAAGUUCGCUACCUUGCGCCGCCCGAGUUUACUUACUACAAGUUAUGAGUAGUAUGUACGCCGGCUUAUUUCCCAGUUGGGAAA
This 144-nucleotide small RNA is filed under the name Pseudomonas cuatrocienegasensis. Its description in RNAcentral is "Pseudomonas sRNA P14". It matches the Rfam family "Pseudomonas sRNA P14". Lineage: Bacteria; Pseudomonadati; Pseudomonadota; Gammaproteobacteria; Pseudomonadales; Pseudomonadaceae. The record is from RNAcentral. RNAcentral also lists the same sequence under 1 other name.